RNAcentral lists this ribosomal RNA (437 nucleotides) under uncultured bacterium. RNAcentral describes it as "partial 16S ribosomal RNA". It matches the Rfam family "Bacterial small subunit ribosomal RNA", at positions 338 to 795 of the family's 1533-position model. The record is from RNAcentral.
CCUACGGGAGGCAGCAGUGGGGAAUAUUGCACAAUGGGGGGAACCCUGAUGCAGCGACGCCGCGUGGGUGAGGAAGUACUUCGGUAUGUAAAGCCCUAUCAGCAGGGACGAAAAUGACGGUACCUGACUAAGAAGCCCCGGCUAACUACGUGCCAGCAGCCGCGGUAAUACGGGGGAUGCAAGCGUUAUCCGGAUUUAUUGGGUUUAAAGGGUGCGUAGGCUGUGAGGUAAGUCAGCGGUGAAAUGCCCGGGCUCAACCCGGGCCGGCCGUUGAAACUGGGGAUCUUGAGUGGGCGAGAAGUAUGCGGAAUGCGGGGUGUAGCGGUGAAAUGCAUAGAUAUCACGCAGAACUCGGAUUGCGAAGGCAGCAUACCGGCGCCCGACUGACGCUGAGGCACGAAAGCGUGGGGAUCGAACAGGAUUAGAUACCUGGGUUC